This is a non-coding RNA of Podarcis lilfordi (Lilford's wall lizard), 76 nucleotides long. The record is from the annotation of a GenBank genome assembly. NCBI's taxonomy places the organism in Eukaryota, Metazoa, Chordata, Lepidosauria, Squamata, Lacertidae.
GGAGAAGGCUGUGAUUCAGUGGUAGAGCAUCUGCUUUGCAAGCAGAAGGUCCCAGGUUCAAUCCCUGAUAUCUCCA